This 76-nucleotide transfer RNA is filed under the name Metapseudomonas phytobenefica. Its description in RNAcentral is "tRNA-Ala". It matches the Rfam family "tRNA". From Rfam's summary of the family: Transfer RNA (tRNA) molecules are approximately 80 nucleotides in length. Their secondary structure includes four short double-helical elements and three loops (D, anti-codon, and T loops). Lineage: Bacteria; Pseudomonadati; Pseudomonadota; Gammaproteobacteria; Pseudomonadales; Pseudomonadaceae. RNAcentral also lists the same sequence under 1 other name. The record is from RNAcentral.
GGGGACGUAGCUCAGCCGGGAGAGCGCGGCGUUCGCAAUGCCGAGGUCGGGAGUUCGAUCCUCCUCGUCUCCACCA